GAUGAACGCUAGCGGCAGGCUUAACACAUGCAAGUCGAGGGGCAGCGAGGAAGUUGCUCGCAACUUCUGUCGGCGACCGGCGCACGGGUGCGUAACGCGUAUGUAACCUACCUCAAACAGGGGCAUAACACUGAGAAAUUGGUACUAAUUCCCCAUAACACCUUGGAGGGCAUCCUUUAGGGUUGAAAGUUCCGGCGGUUUGAGAUGGACAUGCGUUGUAUUAGCUAGUUGGUGAGGUAACGGCUCACCAAGGCGACGAUACAUAGGGGGACUGAGAGGUUAACCCCCCACAUUGGUACUGAGACACGGACCAA
This 314-nucleotide ribosomal RNA is filed under the name uncultured bacterium. RNAcentral describes it as "bacterial SSU rRNA". It matches the Rfam family "Bacterial small subunit ribosomal RNA", at positions 28 to 334 of the family's 1533-position model. The record is from RNAcentral.